This is a non-coding RNA of Linepithema humile (Argentine ant), 571 nucleotides long. Lineage: Eukaryota; Metazoa; Arthropoda; Insecta; Hymenoptera; Formicidae. The record is from RefSeq and is a predicted model, not a curated record.
ACAAUCAAAUAUGUACAUCGAGAUCUGACGAACAAGAUGUGGUCUCUGAAACAAAAUCAAAUACAUUGUGUAUUACUAACAAUAAUGUUGACACAAACAUAACAAAGAGAAAACUAACAGAACAAGAAUUAUUUAAUUAUGAAGAAGAGAAUGGUGUAUUCGAAAAGCAUUCAAAAAGAACACAACAAAUGAAAAGAACAAAAAAGUUAACCACUAACAAAGAAAACUCUUACAAUGAAAAUGGAAAUAAAACUUACGGAAACAUGUAUGAGCGAAAUCCUGGAGUAAUAAAGUUACCAAAAUUGGUUUUACAUAGAAUUGAUCAACAGCUAAAAACAAAAGAACAGAAAGCAUUACAACAGUUACAGAAUUUAAAGUCUCAAAUUUAAUACCAAAAAUUAUAAUAUUUCUAUUCAGUUCAAAGACUAAACACAGUAAUACGCGAGAUGUAAUAUCUCUAAAGAACAUUUAUUCCACACUAUAAAUUGGGAUCUUCAAAACUGCUGAAUGUGUCAAGAGAGAAGUCUUCCGAAGAUAUUUGCACGCUGUGUUUUACCAAUGAGCGAACACA